AAACCUUUCAAACGUCGCGGUGACCCGCAGGCCCGGAUGCCAGGGCGUAAAGGUGGAAGCUGGUGCAAGUCCAGCGCUGUGCCGCAACUGUAACCGAUCGUAUCGUCGGAAGCCAGGAUGCCUGCCGCGACACUGUGUGUUCG
Molecule: non-coding RNA, 143 nt
Filed under: Roseiflexus sp.
Lineage: Bacteria; Bacillati; Chloroflexota; Chloroflexia; Chloroflexales; Roseiflexaceae
Source: RNAcentral